RNAcentral lists this ribosomal RNA (510 nucleotides) under uncultured bacterium. Its description in RNAcentral is "partial 16S ribosomal RNA". The record is from RNAcentral.
CACAGAGUUAGCCGUCCCUUCCUCUUUCGCUACUAUCAACUUAUCAUCUUUUAAAUAAUAAGGUUUGAUCGCAAAUGACAGGGGUUUACGGGCCGAAGCCAUUCAUCCCCCACGCGGCGUCGCUCCAUCAGGCUUGCGCCCAUUGUGAAAAAUUCUCGACUGCUGCCACCCGUAGGUGUCUGGACCGUGUCUCAGUUCCAGUGUGGCUGGUCGUCCUCUCAGACCAGCUACCCGUCUUAGCCUUGGUGAGCCGUUACCUCACCAACUAGCUGAUAGGCCGCGGGUUCAUCAUGAAGCGUCAGGCCUUACGGUCCCCAACUUUAACCAUCAGAAGAUGCCUCCCAAUGGUCACAUCCGGUAUUAGUCCCGCUUUCGCGGGAUUAUCCCAAACUUCACGGCAGAUUACCCACGUGUUACGCACCCUUGCGCCGCUCCCGCUAACGAUAUUGCUACCCGUUAACGAUCGCUCGACUUGCAUGUCUUAUCCACGCCGCCAGCGUUCUCUCUACG